Molecule: ribosomal RNA, 425 nt
Filed under: uncultured prokaryote
Description: bacterial SSU rRNA
Rfam family: Bacterial small subunit ribosomal RNA
Source: RNAcentral
UGCUGAAUUAUUCGCCAAUGCGCGAAAGCGUGACGGUGCGACGCCGCGUGGAGGAUGAAGGCCUUCGGGUUAUAAACUCCUGUCAGGGUGUAGAAAACCGCAGACGUUAAUAGCGGCUGCGCUGAUCCCACCCAAAGGAAGCACAGGCUAACCUCGUGCCAGCAGCCGCGGUAAUACGAGGUGUGCGAGCGUUGUUCGGAAUCACUGGGCAUAAAGGGUGCGUAGGCGGCGCGGUCAGUCGGUUGUGAAAUCCUUCGGCUCAACCGGGGAAUUGCUUCCGAUACUACCGCGCUUGAGGGUGAAAGGGGCAAGCGGAAUUCCAGGUGUAGCGGUGGAAUGCGUAGAUAUCUGGGAGAACGCCGACGGCGAAGGCAGCUUGCUGGGUCACUUCUGACGCUGAGGCACGAAAGCUAGGGGAGCAAACA